Molecule: ribosomal RNA, 268 nt
Filed under: Salmonella enterica subsp. enterica
Lineage: Bacteria; Pseudomonadati; Pseudomonadota; Gammaproteobacteria; Enterobacterales; Enterobacteriaceae
Also listed under: 2 other names
Description: partial 23S ribosomal RNA
Rfam family: Bacterial large subunit ribosomal RNA
Source: RNAcentral
CAUCCUCCAAGGCUAAAUACUCCUGACUGACCGAUAGUGAACCAGUACCGUGAGGGAAAGGCGAAAAGAACCCCGGCGAGGGGAGUGAAAAAGAACCUGAAACCGUGUACGUACAAGCAGUGGGAGCACAGGUUUACCUGUGUGACUGCGUACCUUUUGUAUAAUGGGUCAGCGACUUAUAUUCUGUAGCAAGGUUAACCGUAUAGGGGAGCCGGAGGGAAACCGAGUCUUAAUUGGGCGUUAAGUUGCAGGGUAUAGACCCGAAACC